GGCCUGCCCGGAGCGCGCUCUGCGCAUGCGCCAGGCGGGCCGUUCGAAGGCGCGGCGGGAACGGGCGGGGAGGAGGCUUCGAUACCAAGUGAAUAAAGAUGUCAAUUGUCACAGUGCAGCUCGGGCAGUGUGGGAACCAGAUUGGGCACGAGGUGUUCAGUGCCCUCUGCAGUGACACCCGUGGCACCCACGGGCUGUGCUCCAGGAGGGAGAACCAGUCCUACCAGGAUUCCUGCAGGGAACGGUUCUUCUGCGAGGAGCAAUCUGCAGUGCCUGAGGCCCGGGCUGUGCUCGUUGACAUGGAGCCCAAGGUGAUCAGCCAGACCUUGUCCACGGCUGCCAGCUCUGGCCUCUGGAAGUACAGCAGCCACUCCCACUUCUGCCAGAAGCAAGGCUCUGGGAACAACUGGGCCAACGGUUACUGUGUGCAUGGGCCCAGGCACAAAGAAGCCAUCAUGAACCUGGUGCAGAAGGAGGCAGAGAGGUGUGACCGACUGGGGGGAUUUUUCACCAUCAUGAGCAUGGCUGGGGGCACAGGAUCAGGCCUGGGGGCGUUUGUCACCCAGUGUCUGAGGGAUGCUUUCCCAGCCUCCUUCAUCCUGAACCACGUCAUCUGGCCCUAUGGCACUGGGGAGGUCAUUGUUCAAAACUACAACUCUGUUUUGACUCUGUCACAUCUGUACCACUCAUCAGAUGCCCUUCUUGUCCAUGAAAAUGAUGUCAUCCACAAGAUCUGUGCCCAGCUGAUGAAUAUCAAACAGAUUUCCUUCAGGGAUGUCAACCAAGUCAUUGCUCACCAGCUGGGCAGCGUUUUCCAGCCCACUCACACAGCAGGAGGGGGCUCAGGCUACAGCAGGAGCCCCUUAGGAGAUUUAAUGGAGGCACUGGUCCCACAUCCCGAGUUCAAGAUGCUGGGCCUGAGGAACAUCCCCCAGAUGCCUGAGAGCUCCCUGCCCUACAGCACCUUCAGCUGGCCCGGCCUCCUCAAACACCUCAGGCAGAUGCUCAUUGCUAAUGCCCAGAUGGAGGAAGGUAUUGAUUGGCAGGUACGACCACCACACCCAGGCUCCUCCAUCCCCUCCACAAACAAAGCCCUGCACUUCAACACUUCCAUUGCCAACCUGGUUGUCCUGAGAGGAAAAGAUGUGCACAGCGUGGACUUGGGAAGUUUCCAAGACCCCUCCUUAUACACAUCAUGGCUAAACCCCCAGGAUGCCUUCAAUGCAUGGAAAACUCCCAGAGCAUUUAACAAGUAUGAAAAGUCUGCUGCUUUGGUCAGCAACAGCCAGUUCCUGCUGAAGCCUCUGGACAGCAUCGUAGGAAAAGCUUGGAACAUGUUUGCUUCCAAAGCUUACCUUCACCAGUACACAAAGUUUGGAAUCCAGGAGGAAGAUUUCCUGGACUGCUUCACAACCCUGGAACAAGUGAUCUCCAGUUACACCAAUCUGUGAUUUAUUUCUGUGUUAACAUGGUCUGAAAUAGAGACUUCUGAGAGAACCAAGCUGGAAAACCUUCCAUCAACCCCCUGAAAAGAAACUGCAGGAGAGAUUGCACAAGAAGUUCAGACAAACAGCACAGGCAAUUCGAGUUUGCAGGAACAAAGGGUCAGGAAAGGAGACCAUGAUCACAAACAGAAUUUCCAGAAAUGAGAAUAGGUAACUGCAUGAAAAAUUGGCCAAGUCCCAGGAAUCCUUUUCCUUCUCACUUCACAGAACAGGUAAAAGUUUUUCAAAAGGCUAAGGACAGGUAAGUGCCCUGAGAAACAAGGAAGAGAGCAGUGGGUCAUUCAGUGCUGUAGCAAUAAAUAACUUUAUUGCAGAAAUAACCUCAUGUUAUCUCUGUAUUCAUAAUUCUGAGCAUGAGGCAAACACAGCAGGUGCUCAGUGAACCUAUGAAUGAUAUAGAACCAUAUUUGUUAUUUAUUUAUGGCACUUCAUAUAUCCUGCUAAUGGAGCAGGAUGUUUGGUCUUUUUUGUUUGUGUGAUGGCAGAAUUUGUGCCACAUCAGGAAGCACAGCACACAGGCAAGAUGUCUAACCCCAAAGCAAAAAUUCACAUUUUAGCUGCUAUAGUCCCUUAGUGCUCUGGAGCAGGGGCUGACAGGAAUUGUUUUGGGCAUCUCUAAGCUUCUUCCUGUGAAUGUUUUCCAGUCCUGAAAUUCUCACACCCUUUCCCAAACUCAGCCUUCAUUUUUUUUUGAUCUAUGAUGGGAUUCCUUUAUUUUUUCCCCAGGAUGUGGAGAGGGUCAAAGUGACAGGAAGUGAACAGCCACUAUCAAAUACUCAUCACCUGCAAUUACAUUAAAAGGUGGAGGAGUAAUUCUCUACCUAAUUGAUACAAUUAAUUAUGUAAAUGGAGCCUGGAAGAAGGCCUUUAUUUCAUUAACAAUUACAAUUAAAGAGGUAGAUCAAAGGUCAGCACAGCUCAGAGACAGGAACAGCAGAAUCAGUGGCCUUGACCUUGCUUGUUGUAGGCAAAGUCCCCACAGGAUGUCCACAAAGCAGGAACAAUGCUCCAAAUCUCACUAUUGUUUGUGCAAGGGACAGGUGCAGCUCACUGGGAAGCUGAUUCAAGAGCUCCAACUGUAGCAGACAUUUCAUGAAUAGGAGAACAUUUAUUUGACCACAAAAAGCCAAAACAAAACAAACCCUACCCCCCAAAAAACAACCUACAAACAAAGCAAAAUAAAACAAACCCACCAAAAUAAAAAAUAACUUUUAACAACCUGAAAUGUUUUAAACACAGUAAAUGUUUGGCAAUUUAAUUUCAAAUUAUUUAUUUGGGCAUAAAUAGAUAUUGGUGUUUUUAAAGUUAGACUCAGUACCAGCACAGAAGGAUGGAAAUAAGUAAGAGAAAAAAAAAUCUGUGGUUCCCACAAUAACCAGGGUUUAAUACAUGAAAAGAGGAAAUUAUAUUCAAAUUACCAGUUGAAACACUACUGAGAAGCACUAAGGUACAAAAGGGCCUUGAAUGAAUAAUUCACUUCUCUCUGCAUUUGCUAAUAAAUUUAGUAUGGAUAAAUAUUAUUAAAUGAGAGCCCAAACAUCCAAAAGGAAAUAGGACUGAGUGUACUUUAAAGAAAUCUGCUUUUUGCUGGACUCCACUUUAAAAACUGCCCAAGAGGAACCAGGAAAAUGAUUCAUGGAUCCGAUAGAGCACAAAAACCUUCCAAAAGGAACCGAGCUGCUCCUUUCCUCAGGGGCAGCCCAGGCAGGGCUUUUCCAGGGCAGCAAACCCCCCGGAGCUCCCUGCAGCAGCUCUGCCCCGCUGCGGGCACAGCCCGGGCGCUUCGAGCUGGAAGCGCAGCUGAUCACCCGGGCUGGAAGCACGGAGCCUUCCCGGCUCCCUCAGCCCCACUGCGGCUCACAACGGUCCCUUCUGAGUCCCCCCUGUGGGAAUCCUGUCCCUGCAGGCCCGGCCACUUCCCCUCGGGUGGGGCAGGACUCAGCCCCGCUUAACCCUUCCCAGGAACUGCAAGGAAGAAAUUCCUGCCAGCCGCAGGGGAAAGGUGGAAAGGCCCCAGAGAAGAGACUGGAGAAGCUGCUCGUUAGGAAAUCAAGGCAAUGUUUAGAGUAAAGGUGCUCCGUGAUAAAGAGCAUGGAAGAAAUGUCAAUUUUAACCCCAUGUUCACACAGGCCUGAGAGAUAUGGAACAGUGGCUCCUAAGAGAGUCACACUCAUCUGUGUGAAUUAGGUGCUAGAAACCUUCUUGUCUCAAAACCAAAGUUAAAAAUUCCAAAUGUUACAUUGUAAGAUACAAAAAUUAGUAAGCUGAGGGCCAAAAUUCCUAUUUUAAAAGUAAAAGCACUACGUGGAGAAACUAAAGCCACUGGUUAAACACAACAACAACAAAAGACAGAAAAACACUUAUUGAGCUUUUGUUUCUCUGGUUGUGUGAGGAGAAAGGAGCCCCGUGCUGGAUUUGCACUGAAAUUGGUGCAUUCUGCUAAAGUGAUUAUUGUACAUAUUUGGUUACAUGGACAAUGUCAUGCUUAUUUAAGGCUCACAAAAAUACACUUGAGUUGCCUGAGAUGGUGUAACUGUGGGCAGAUGGCAGGACUGGAUUUGAAUUUCUGCCCAGCAGUGUCCAAGGUGUAAUGGAUCAUUUACAGGAGCACUCAGGAGAGCAGGGUGGGUGGGAAGUGGCUCCGUGCCACGGGCUGGAGGUGGAACCAAAUCCUGCCUGGGCUGGGCUGGCAAGGGCAGCUCCUGCCCCCUGCUCAGUGAGGGUGCUGGGCUCUAACUCUCAGCUCCUGCUUCCCACAGGGCCUGCAGCAAUCCCAAGUUCAAGGAUCCAUCCUUCCAUGGAGGUGUUUGCUGUGGCCUGUCCUGCUGCCCCUUGCAAAGAGAACUCUGGGAAGUUUCUUCCCACCCCACUCUGGGCAAUUCCAGCCUGUGUUAGCUGACUGGGGGUCACUGGAGUCAGCAGUUGUGUUGAUGGAGUGAUUUGGAGUUGUGAAUCUUAGGCUGGAUGUUGGGGAAGAAAUCAAAUGCAACUGAUACAACAGUCAAAACCAUACAUUUGACAAUGAAAGACCAAAAAUCCAGUUAAAUACUCGGCUCCCAAGAAGAAAGCUUCCAUUCCCCCCAGAGUCUCACAUCAUUUUCCUCUAUAAAGACUUAGCCAGGCUUCCCCUCAAACCCAGUAUUCUCACAUAAAAACCAGACACAAACCUGAUGUGUGCUGUGAAAGGAGAGCUCACUCCUCAGUGACAUCAGGAAGGAAACCUCAGCACGUGGGGCCCUGUUCAGUGAACAAACCUGCAGGAAACAGGCUUGGGCUGGGCCAAAAAUGACUCCACGAGGGCAGAGAGGGCUCCAAGGCCCAGGGGAGGGGACAGCAGUGACAGUUUCAAGCAGGGGCUCUCAGGCUCUGCCAAACACUUCAGCCCUUUCCUUUUUCAGGGAACUGGAAGGAUCUCUCAGUCACAAGUGGGGACGAUUGCCAGAGAUUGCCUCACUUCCCACAAACACCUGGCUCCUCCUGGGCAGGGCUGCCCUGGGCUCUGCCCCUCGCACAGAGGAGAGACACUCUGUACAGGAGGUAAGGGAGGCAACACAAUUGAAAUCACCACUUGCAGUAGCAAAAUACUGCUUUGAAAAUGUUUUUGGCAUCCAUUAGCUGGAAGUCAAGUAAAUACUGGCUUCAGGAAUCUUAAAAGUUUCUUCCUUGCUGCUCCCCACCUCGAGCCUUACACAACACCCAGGAAUGCACUGCCUGUGUCACAGGAGGUCAGCUGUGAGGAGAGACCUCCAAAUCCAGGAAUCUGAGAAAUGAAACGUUAUGAAAAGAUCCCAAAUAUCAAGAGCUCUCCAGAAAGCAGCUGCAGCAAACCAGGCCCUGGGAGCUGUGAGGUUUCCAACCAGCCCUGAGAGGUUUUGUGGCCAUGGUGGGAUUUGCACGAGGUUGUAAACCUGAAUGUGUUUUCUCUCUGAGACAGAGAACUGCUGAGCACAGAAACCUGUGUUUUCCCAUCAAAGGAUGGAAAAAUCCUAAUAACCUUUCUGAGGAAAGCCACAGUCCCUCAAAGUGUGAGCCCUGAACAAGGUAUUGAUGUUUUCAGCAGCAGCAGCCAGGUUCUUCCCUGACAGCACCACAAGGUCAUUUCCUGUGGAUGCAACAAACUUUGGGAAGUGCUUUGGCUCUGGUGAGAAUUUCUUACAGGUGACACCAGAGUCACCAGCCCAUUGUGGAGGCCCCAGGAGCCGUUCCAGGAGCCGGGUGUGGCUGUAAGCAGAGCAGGAACAACACCCCGAGCUGACAGGGCUCUCCUCGCCCCCCAGCAGGAAGGAGCCGCGGUUUCCUGCCCGGGCAGCGCCGGCACAGCCCGGAGUGAGCCCCGAGCACGGGGAUUCCACUCCAGCUCAGCAGCUCCUCUGCUGGAAGCUGACCUUUGCUUCAGUGCUACUGGAGUCACUGCUCUUUGACUCAGUUCAGGGAGAAUAAUAAUAAUAAUAAAUUAAUAAAACCUCAGCACAACCAAGGGCAGUGCUAAAGCAAACUGAGCCCAAGCUGGGCUCGUUCACAGGUUCACAUUUGCAGCUUUGUUCCACCACACCUGGACAGCACCAGCACUGAAGGGCUGAGUGGCCUCAACAGCCUCUUCACUCACAAUUCAAACAUGGUAGUAAUCACCUUUUUUGACCAAAAUACCAAUUUUUUCCUAAAUUUUUAACACAUUCCAAGCAGUCACUGAUGCAGGGCUCUCCCCAUUUGCUGGGAGGUGACAGAACAGCAGUGAGUUUCUGUUUGAGCUCCCUCCCCUCUUGUGGCAGCUGCCCCAGGUUGUUCCAGCCUCUCCCUCUGCCAGAACAAUGUUCUGCUGCCUCCAUGAAGGCAGAGUGGAUGCAUCAAUAAACAAGUGAAAUGCAUGAAGAAACUCAGGCCAGCAUUUCAUGCUCUCCAUUAGGCACUUGAAUUAGCAAAGCCACAGUGGGCUCAGAGAGCUUUUCACCAUGAUCCUCCUAACAAUGACUUUGCAGGAGCAUAUGUGAAUAUGUUUCUCCAGUCUGAAUGCAUGCGAGGCUGCACUCCCCUCCCCGGGGGCAGUGAUCAGCACUGAUCCCUCACCUGCCCAGCAGGAUCCCCUCCCACUGCCCACCUGCUGCUGCAGUCUGGGUGAAGCACUCACUGUUUGCUUACUGCCUUUCCUUCUCCUCCAAAAAACUAACCAAAUUUACAGGAAAAAAAGCAGAAUUUUAAAUCUCAGGAGAGUCAUUCCAAUUACCUUAUCUAGAACUACACUCAGCCUUCUAACUGCUGGUUACAAGGAUUUUUUAACCAUGUGCUUCAAAGAAAACAAAUUAUUUUUACCUCCAAAGAACACACCCAAGCCCCACUUUUCUUUCCAUUUGCCAUCAAUUCUGUUCACUAAUAUUUAUAUUUCUGCUUGAUAAUCAGGGCAACAUCCAGAGUGUUUUGCCUGCACUUAGCAGAGGCUGCAGCGAGAGGGAGGCUGAUUCCAACAAAUGAAAUGAUGAAGCCCAAAAGCACCGCAGGGAAGGACUUUGUGGAACAGCACCAAGCCCCUGUCAGGGGUUGGUGACAAGGAUCCUUCAGCAGGAACAGCAGCUGGGGGAGCUGAGGGAGCUGCAAACACAGACCAGGGUGACACUGGCAGGGCUGAGCACAGGGAGCAGCUCCUGACGAUGGAUGAGGCACGGGCUGAGCUGACCCGGCUCGCUGUGACCCAGCUCUGCUUGCAGCAAUUCCUGCCCGCUGGGGCACUGCAGAGGGGCACUGCCCC
This is an RNA transcript of Passer montanus (Eurasian tree sparrow), 7245 nucleotides long. It is a transcript of the gene named tubulin delta 1, with no coding region annotated. Lineage: Eukaryota; Metazoa; Chordata; Aves; Passeriformes; Passeridae. The transcript has 11 exons. The record is from RefSeq and is a predicted model, not a curated record.